GUCAGAAAUACAGCACUUUUUUUGUUGUGCGACAUUGGGUCAACUGUACAUUGCAUAGGAGUGCUAGUGAGUGAAAUCAUAGUUAAGUAUUUACAUAUCCUAGGCACUGGUCUUGUUGGUCAACUAUGUUGACAAGCUUAGGUAGGGUGAGUGUCCUGAAUAUGAUAGGCAAACUAGAAAUCAUCACGGGGUUUACAUGUGUAUGUCUACUCCAGGUGGGUGAUACUGAAGAUUGGAGUCUAGGGUCCCUGUUGCGGGGAGUUAUAGUCCUUAGUGUUUAUCAACUGGCUUUGUUGGGCUGUGUUGAGUUUGUGUUCAGCAGGAUUGUAGAUGAGUCCAAGGGAUAUUUAAGUUAGCUCCCUG
Non-coding RNA from Pelobates cultripes (western spadefoot toad), 363 nucleotides. The record is from the annotation of a GenBank genome assembly. Lineage: Eukaryota; Metazoa; Chordata; Amphibia; Anura; Pelobatidae.